RNAcentral lists this unclassified non-coding RNA (1380 nucleotides) under uncultured Neocallimastigales. RNAcentral describes it as "partial contains small subunit ribosomal RNA, internal transcribed spacer 1, 5.8S ribosomal RNA, internal transcribed spacer 2, and large subunit ribosomal RNA". The stretch from base 626 to 1380 matches the Rfam family "Eukaryotic large subunit ribosomal RNA", at positions 1 to 625 of the family's 3401-position model. Lineage: Eukaryota; Fungi; Neocallimastigomycota; Neocallimastigomycetes; Neocallimastigales. The record is from RNAcentral.
UUUCCGUAGGUGAACCUGCGGAAGGAUCAUUAAAAAAUAUCACUCGAUUGAGAGUGAUUUAAUAAUCAUCCUACCCUUUGUGAAUUUGUUAUUGUAAAUGUAAAAAUUUAUGUUGUCUAUCCUUGGAAAGUUUGUUCAAUUUAAUAAACCCAAGGGAAUAGGCUUUCAUAGACCUUUUUUUUAAAAUUAAACAUUUUGUAUUCAUUUGUCUAAAAUUUAUUUUUAAAAUAAUUUAAAAACAACUUUUGACAAUGGAUCUCUUGGUUCUCGCAACGAUGAAGAACGCAGCAAAAUGCGAUAAGUAAUGUGAAUUGCAGAAUACGUGAAUCAUCAAAUCUUCGAACGCAUAUUGCACUUUUUUAGUUUACUAAAAAAGUAUGUCUGUUUGAGUAUCAGUAAAAUAUUCUCAUAAAAAAAUUUUUUUUUUUAUGGUCAUGAGUGUUUUACAGCGAUAAACAAGUUGUUUCACUUUAAAUUGAUUUUUAAAAGCCAAUUUUUUGGUUUUUAUCUAAUAAAAUUGGAUAAAAUUUUCCCGUAAAAAGGAAUAAACUUUUCAGUUUUAAAGGGUAAAAAUUAAAAUAUUAUUGUGCUUAAUUUAAAAGGAAAAUUUAAUUUAAAAAUAACUUGAUCUCAAAUCAGAUAAGAGUACCCGCUGAACUUAAGCAUAUCAAUAAGCGGAGGAAAAGAAACUAACAAGGAUUCCCUUAGUAACGGCGAGUGAAGCGGGAAGAGCUCAAUUUGAAACCUUCAAGGUUCUACCUUGACGAAUUGUAGUUUAAAGAAGUGUCUUCUGUUAGAGGAGUAGCGAAAGUUCCUUGGAAUGGGACAUCAUAGAGGGUGAGAAUCCCGUAUUUGGUUAUUCUUUCUAGCUUUGUGAUACACUUUCAAAGAGUCGGAUUGUUUGGGAAUGCAGUCCCAAAUGGGUGGUAAUUUCAUCUAAAGCUAAAUAUUGGCGAGAGACCGAUAGCGAACAAGUAUCGUGAGGGAAAGAUGAAAAGAACUUUAAAAAAGAGAGUUAAACAGUACGUGAAAUUGUCAAAAGGGAAGCGUUUGACACCAGUGUUGUUUUCCGAAAAUCAAUUAAGAACGGCUUGAUUUUGUGUUGUAUUGACCUUAUCAGCUUUCUUCACUCUUUUUCGAGUCUUUCUUAAUGCACUUUUCGGUUAACAAGUCACAUCAAUUUCUUUUGUUGUAAAAGGGUAUUUGGAAGUGGCUUUCUUUUCGGAGAAAGUGUUUAUAGCCUUAUACCUCUACAAUCGGAGAGAUUGAGGUCUGCAGCGUAGAUCCUUCGGGGCUAAGAUACACUUGUGCUAAGUUAUAGGCUUUUCAUAGACAUAAUGUUGACUAUGUUUAGUCAUGUAGCUUACUCGCUUGUGCUAU